Coregonus clupeaformis (lake whitefish) is the source of this 145-nucleotide long non-coding RNA. RefSeq lists it as uncharacterized. The record is from RefSeq and is a predicted model, not a curated record. Lineage: Eukaryota; Metazoa; Chordata; Actinopteri; Salmoniformes; Salmonidae. The transcript is spliced from 2 exons.
AGCACCACACUGCCGACCAUUAUGACUUAUCAAAUGAUGAGGAUGAGCAUGGGAACAAAGAUGGCACCAAAUCAUACAGGUGCCGGAUGUGUGCGGUGACGUUCUUCAGCAAGUCGGACAUGCAGAUCCAUGCCAAGUCUCACAC